ACGUCCAUACCGCGCUGAACGCACCGGUUCUGCGUCCGACCACUGCAGUUAAGUAGUGUCGGACGAAGCCAGUGCUUGGAUGGGUGACCGCCUGGCAGGCCGUGCUGUU
Non-coding RNA from Eumeta japonica, 109 nucleotides. The record is from the annotation of a GenBank genome assembly. Lineage: Eukaryota; Metazoa; Arthropoda; Insecta; Lepidoptera; Psychidae.